This 69-nucleotide transfer RNA is filed under the name Cottus pollux (Japanese fluvial sculpin). Its description in RNAcentral is "partial tRNA-Pro". It matches the Rfam family "tRNA". From Rfam's summary of the family: Transfer RNA (tRNA) molecules are approximately 80 nucleotides in length. Their secondary structure includes four short double-helical elements and three loops (D, anti-codon, and T loops). Lineage: Eukaryota; Metazoa; Chordata; Actinopteri; Perciformes; Cottidae. The record is from RNAcentral.
CAAGGAAUAGUUUAAUUUUAGAACUCUAGCUUUGGGAGCUAGGGGUGGGAGUUAAAAUCUCCUUUCCUU